UUGAGGGGUGCUACUUGUUUCU
RNAcentral lists this non-coding RNA (22 nucleotides) under Arabidopsis thaliana (thale cress). Lineage: Eukaryota; Viridiplantae; Streptophyta; Magnoliopsida; Brassicales; Brassicaceae. The record is from RNAcentral.